This 117-nucleotide ribosomal RNA is filed under the name Nanobdellota archaeon. Lineage: Archaea; Nanobdellati; Nanobdellota. The record is from RNAcentral.
CGGAACGGUCAUAGCUGCCUGGUCCCAUCCGAUCUCGUUUCGAACUCGGCAAUUAAGCAGGCAUACGUUCUUAGCUGUACUGUCCUCUGUGACGGGAACCUAAGAUAGCUGUUCCAC